GAUGAAGAACGCAGCGAAAUGCGAUAAGUAAUGUGAAUUGCAGAAUUCAGUGAAUCAUCGAAUCUUUGAACGCACAUUGUGCCCCUUGGUAUUCCGAGGGGCAUGCCUGUUCGAGCGUCAUUACACCACUCAAGCUAUGCUUGGUAUUGGGCGUCGUCCUUAGUUGGGCGCGCCUUAAAGACCUCGGCGAGGCCACUCCGGCUUUAGGCGUAGUAGAAUUUAUUCGAACGUCUGUCAAAGGAGAGGAACUCUGCCGACUGAAACCUUUAUUUUUCUAGGUUGACCUCGGAUCAGGUAGGGAUACCCGCUGAACUUAAGCAUAUCAAUAAGCGGAGGA
Molecule: unclassified non-coding RNA, 337 nt
Filed under: soil metagenome
Description: partial contains 5.8S ribosomal RNA, internal transcribed spacer 2, and large subunit ribosomal RNA
Rfam family: 5.8S ribosomal RNA (bases 1-120)
Source: RNAcentral